RNAcentral lists this ribosomal RNA (236 nucleotides) under uncultured bacterium. Its description in RNAcentral is "partial 16S ribosomal RNA". It matches the Rfam family "Bacterial small subunit ribosomal RNA", at positions 15 to 245 of the family's 1533-position model. The record is from RNAcentral.
GAUCAUGGCUCAGGAUGAACGCUAGCGACAGGCUUAACACAUGCAAGUCGAGGGGCAGCACGGUGUAGCAAUACAUUGGUGGCGACCGGCGCACGGGUGAGUAACGCGUAUGCAACCUACCUAUCAGAGGGGAAUAACCCGGCGAAAGUCGGACUAAUACCGCAUAAAACAGGGGUUCCACAUGGAAAUAUUUGUUAAAGAUUUAUCGCUGAUAGAUGGGCAUGCGUUCCAUUAGA